This 467-nucleotide ribosomal RNA is filed under the name uncultured bacterium. RNAcentral describes it as "partial 16S ribosomal RNA". It matches the Rfam family "Bacterial small subunit ribosomal RNA", at positions 28 to 507 of the family's 1533-position model. The record is from RNAcentral.
GAUGAACGCUGGCGGCGUGCUUAACACAUGCAAGUCGAACGGUGAAGCAGAGCUUGCUCUGUUGAUCCGUUGCGAACGGGUGAGUAACACGUGAGCAACCUGCCCCUGUCUCUGGGAUAAGCGCUUGCAACGGCGUCUAAUACUUGAUAUGUGCUGCGUCCGCAUGGUCAGCUGUUGGAAAGAUUGUUCGGUAUGUGAUGGGCUCACGUCCUAUCAGCUUGUUGGUGAGGUAAUGGCUCACCAAGGCGUCGACGGGUAGCCGGCCUGAGAGGGUGACCGGCCACACUGGGACUGAGACACGGCCCAGAAUCCUACGGGAGGCAGCAGUGGGGAAUAUUGCACAAUGGGCGAAAGCCUGAUGCAGCAACGCCGCGUGAGGGAUGACGGCCUUCGGGUUGUAAACAUCUUUGAGCAGGGAAGAAGCGAAAGUGACGGUACCUGAAGAAAAAGCGCCGGCUAACUACGUG